CUGCAGUCGAGCGGAGCACUUCGGUGCUUAGCGGCGGACGGGUGAGUAACACGUAGGCAACCUGCCUGUAAGACCGGGAUAACUAUCGGAAACGAUAGCUAAGACCGGAUAACUGGUUUUCUCGCAUGGGAGAAUCAUGAAACACGGAGCAAUCUGUGGCUUACAGAUGGGCCUGCGGCGCAUUAGCUAGUUGGUGAGGUAACGGCUCACCAAGGCGACGAUGCGUAGCCGACCUGAGAGGGUGAACGGCCACACUGGGACUGAGACACGGCCCAGACUCCUACGGGAGGCAGCAGUAGGGAAUCUUCCGCAAUGGACGCAAGUCUGACGGAGCAACGCCGCGUGAGUGAUGAAGGUUUUCGGAUCGUAAAGCUCUGUUGCCCUAGACGAACAGCAUCAGGAGUAACUGCCUGGUGUGUGACGGUAUAGGAGAAGAAAGCCCCGGCUAACUACGUGCCAGCAGCCGCGGUAAUACGUAGGGGGCAAGCGUUGUCCGGAAUUAUUGGGCGUAAAGCGCGCGCAGGCGGUUAAUUAAGUUGGGUGUUUAAGCCCGGGGCUCAACCCCGGUUCGCAUCCAAAACUGGUUGACUUGAGUGUAGGAGAGGAAAGUGGAAUUCCACGUGUAGCGGUGAAAUGCGUAGAGAUGUGGAGGAACACCAGUGGCGAAGGCGACUUUCUGGCCUAUAACUGACGCUGAGGCGCGAAAGCGUGGGGGAGCAAACAGGAUUAGAUACCCUGGUAGUCCACGCCGUAAACGAUGCAUACUAGGUGUUGGGGAUUCGAUUCCUCGGUUCCCGAAGUUUAACACAGUAAGUUAUGCCGCCUGGGGGAGUACGCCUCGCAAGAGUGAAAACUCAAAAGGAAAUUGACGGGGACCCGCACAAACCAGUGGAAGUAUGUGGGUUUUA
Molecule: ribosomal RNA, 908 nt
Filed under: uncultured bacterium
Lineage: Bacteria
Description: bacterial SSU rRNA
Rfam family: Bacterial small subunit ribosomal RNA
Source: RNAcentral